RNAcentral lists this ribosomal RNA (464 nucleotides) under uncultured bacterium. RNAcentral describes it as "partial 16S ribosomal RNA". It matches the Rfam family "Bacterial small subunit ribosomal RNA", at positions 28 to 507 of the family's 1533-position model. The record is from RNAcentral.
GACGAACGCUGGCGGCGUGCUUAACACAUGCAAGUCGAACGAUGAACCGGUGUCGGCCGGGGAUUAGUGGCGAACGGGGGAGUAACACGUGGGCAAGCUGCCCUGCACUCUGGGAUAAGCGUGGGAAACUGGGUCUAAUACCGGAGACGAAACUCCGAUGCAUCUUGGGGGGUGGAAAGUUCCGGCUGUUAGGGAUUAGCCCGCGGCCUAUCGGCUUGUUGGUGGGGUAAUGGCAUACCAAGGCGACGACGGGUAGCCGGCCUGAGCGGGUGACCGGCCACACUGGGCCUGAGCCACGGCCCAGACCCCUACCGGACGCAACGGUGGGGAAGAUUGCACAAUGGGCGCGAGCCUGAUGCAACGACGCCGCGUGGGGGAUGACGGCCUUGGGGUUGUAAACCUAUUUCAGCAUGGCCGAAGCGAUAGUGACGGUACCUGCAGAAGAAGCACCGGCUAACUACGUG